UUUUUCCGCCGGACUUUGCCACGCAAUGGCGAUCUUCAGUAGGGAUUUAUACGAAUCCUGCCAAAGCGUUACCUUCCAUUUCCAUCGCCCUCAAAAUCGUUCUAUUAGCAGUCGAACGUUGCACAAUUAAUAAUAUAUGCUCGUCUUCGGGAAAACGUAAUUUUUAACGGGUGCUUAUUUUUCCAAACGAACAACUUAAUAAAUAUUCACCGGAAAACAACCAACUGGUUUGUUCUAAGACUUUGUGUAUAUUGAAGUAUACGUUCAUAUAUCAUCAGGUAUUG
Non-coding RNA from Cinara cedri, 284 nucleotides. NCBI's taxonomy places the organism in Eukaryota, Metazoa, Arthropoda, Insecta, Hemiptera, Aphididae. The record is from the annotation of a GenBank genome assembly.